RNAcentral lists this ribosomal RNA (374 nucleotides) under uncultured organism. RNAcentral describes it as "partial 16S ribosomal RNA". It matches the Rfam family "Bacterial small subunit ribosomal RNA", at positions 527 to 896 of the family's 1533-position model. The record is from RNAcentral.
GAAGGGUGCAAGCGUUGUUCGGAAUUAUUGGGCGUAAAGGGUUCGUAGGCGGGAUUGUAAGUCAAGUGUGAAAUCCCCGAGCUUAACUCGGGACGUGCAUUUGAAACUACAGUUCUUGAGUCAUAGAGAGGGUAGUGGAAUUGUUGGUGUAGGAGUGACAUCCGUAGAGAUCAACAGGAACAUCAGAGGCGAAAGCGGCUACCUGGCUAUGAACUGACGCUGAGGAACGAAAGUGUGGGGAGCAAACAGGGAUUAGAUACCCUGGUAGUCCACACCAUAAACGAUGAUAACUAGGUGUUGGGGGAGUUGACCCCCCCCUCAGUACCGUAGCUCACGCGCUAAGUUAUCCGCCUGGGGAUACGGCCGCAAGGCUA